GCUCAGGGUGAACGCUGGCGGCGUGCCUAACACAUGCAAGUCGAGCGGUGCGGCUGGAAGCUUUGGCGGAAGGCUGCAUAGCGGCGGACGGGUGCGUAACACGUAGGAACGUGCCCCCUGGAGGCGGAUAGCCGUGGGAAACUGCGGGUAAACCGCCGUAGACUCGGGAGAGUAAAGGCCGAAAGGCGCCAGGGGAGCGGCCUGCGGCCCAUCAGGUAGUUGGUAGGGUAACGGCCUACCAAGCCGACGACGGGUAGCCGGUCUGAGAGGAUGGCCGGCCACAAGGGCACUGAGACACGGGCCCUACUCCUACGGGAGGCAGCAGUGGGGGAUUUUGGACAAUGGGCGAAAGCCUGAUCCAGCGACGCCGCGUGGAGGACGAAGCCCUUCGGGGUGUAAACUCCUUUUCUCAGGGAAAAAAGCUGAUGGUACCUGAGGAAUAAGCCCCGGCUAACUACGUGCCAGCAGCCGCGGUAAUACGUAGGGGGCGAGCGUUACCCGGAAUUACUGGGCGUAAAGGGUGCGUAGGCGGCCGUGUGUGUCUGGCGUUAAAAUCCACGGCUCAACUGUGGGUAUGCGCUGGAAACUGCACGGCUUGGGUGCAGCAGAGGCAGACGGAACUGCUGGUGUAGGGGUGAAAUCCGUAGAUAUCAGCAGGAACGCCGGUGGAGAAGUCGGUCUGCUGGGCUGUAACCGACGCUGAGGCACGAAAGCUAGGGGAGCAAACCGGAUUAGAUACCCGGGUAGUCCUAUCCGUAAACGAUGCUCACUUGGUGUGGGGGCGAAGGUCUCCGUGCUGAAGCUAACGCGUUAAGUGAGCCGCCUGGGGAGUAUGCCCGCAAGGGUG
RNAcentral lists this ribosomal RNA (847 nucleotides) under uncultured bacterium. RNAcentral's name for it is "bacterial SSU rRNA". It matches the Rfam family "Bacterial small subunit ribosomal RNA", at positions 22 to 896 of the family's 1533-position model. The record is from RNAcentral.